GCCUAAAGCGUCCGUAGCCGGCUCUGUAAGUUUUCGGUUAAAUCCAUAUGCUCAACAUAUGGGCCGCCGGAAAUACUACAGAGCUAGGGAGUGGGAGAGGUAGACGGUACUCCGUAGGAAGGGGUAAAAUCCUUUGAUCUAUGGAUGACCACCUGUGGCGAAGGCGGUCUACCAGAACACGUUCGACGGUGAGGGAUGAAAGCUGGGGGAGCAAACCGGAUUAGAUACCCGGGUAGUCCCAGCUGUAAACUAUGCAAACUCAGUGAUGCAUUGGCUUGUGGCCAGUGCAGUGCCGCAGAGAAGUCGUUAAGUUUGCCGCCUGGGAAGUACGUACGCAAGUAUGAAACUUAAAGGAAUUGGCGGGGGAGCACCACAAGGGGUGAAGCCUGCGGUUCAAUUGGAGUCAACGCCAGAAAUCUUACCCGGAGAGACAGCAGGAUGAAGGUCAAGCUGAAGACUUUACCAGACAAGCUGAGAAGUGGUGCAUGGCCGUCGCCAGCUCGUGCCGUGAGGUGUCCUGUUAAGUCAGGUAACGAGCGAGAUCCUUGCUUCUAGUUGCCACCAUUACUCUCAGGAGUAGUGGGGCGAAUUAGCGGGACUGCCGUAGUUAAUACGGAGGAAGGAGAGGGCCACGGCAGGUCAGUAUGCCCCGAA
Molecule: ribosomal RNA, 654 nt
Filed under: uncultured archaeon
Lineage: Archaea
Description: bacterial SSU rRNA
Rfam family: Archaeal small subunit ribosomal RNA
Source: RNAcentral